GGGGAAGGUCAUUAAGACCGAAGUACAUGAUUCCAUGCUUCCAAGAAAAGCAUCUAGAGAGAGAAGUAGUGCCCGUACCGCAAACCGACACAGGUAGAUGAGGAGAGAAUCCUAAGGCCGGCGGAAGAAUUGCAGUUAAGGAACUAGGCAAAUUGACCCCGUAAGUUCGCGAGAAGGGGUGCCUGCGAGAGCAGGCCGCAGAGAAUAGGCCCAAGCAACUGUUUAGCAAAAACACAGGUCUCUGCUAAAGCGUAAGCUGAUGUAUAGGGGCUGACGCCUGCCCGGUGCUGGAAGGUUAAGGGGAACACUUAGCGCAAGCGAAGGUGUGAACUUAAGCCCCAGUAAACGGCGGCCGUAACAAUAACGGUCCUAAGGUAGCGAAAUUCCUUGUCAGGUAAGUUCUGACCCGCACGAAUGGCGUAAUGACUUGGGCACUGUCUCAACUGCAAAUCCGGCGAAGUUGUAGUGCGAGUGAAGAUGCUCGCUACCCGCGAUUGGACGGAAAGACCCCGUAGAGCUUUACUGUAGCUUAGCAUUGAAUUCCGGUAUUGUCUGUACAGGAUAGGUGGGAGACUGGGAAACUAGGGCGUCAGCCUUAGUGGAGUCAACCUUGGGAUACCACCCUGACAGUACUGGGGUUCUAACAGGACGCCAUGAAACUGGUGACUGGACAUUGUUAGGUGGGCAGUUUGACUGGGGCGGUCGCCUCCUAAAAAGUAACGGAGGCGCCCAAAGGUUCCCUCAGAACGGUCGGAAAUCGUUCGUAGAGUGCAAAGGCAGAAGGGAGCCUGACUGCGAGACCUACAAGUCGAGCAGGGACGAAAGUCGGGCUUAGUGAUCCGGUGGUACCUCGUGGGAGGGCCAUCGCUCAACGGAUAAAAGCUACCUCGGGGAUAACAGGCUGAUCUCCCCCAAGAGUCCACAUCGACGGGGAGGUUUGGCACCUCGAUGUCGGCUCGUCGCAUCCUGGGGCUGUAGUAGGUCCCAAGGGUUGGGCUGUUCGCCCAUUAAAGCGGCACGCGAGCUGGGUUCAGAACGUCGUGAGACAGUUCGGUCCCUAUCCGUCGCGGGCGUAGGAAAUUUGAGAGGAGCUGUCCUUAGUACGAGAGGACCGGGAUGGACUGACCUCUGGUGCACCAGUUGUUCUGCCAAGAGCAUGGCUGGGUAGCUAAGUCGGGAAGGGAUAAACGCUGAAAGCAUCUAAGCGUGAAGCCCCCCUCAAGAUGAGAUUUCCCAUAGCAUAAGCUAGUAAGACCCCUUGAAGAACACAAGGUUGAUAGGUCAGAGGUGGAAGUGCGGUAACGUAUGUAGCUGACUGAUACUAAUAGGUCGAGGGCUUGACU
This 1343-nucleotide ribosomal RNA is filed under the name metagenome. RNAcentral describes it as "bacterial LSU rRNA". It matches the Rfam family "Bacterial large subunit ribosomal RNA", at positions 1567 to 2925 of the family's 2925-position model. The record is from RNAcentral.